This 2460-nucleotide long non-coding RNA is filed under the name Lathyrus oleraceus (garden pea). RNAcentral describes it as "Pisum sativum (pea) long non-coding RNA (PSAT_LNC029195)". Lineage: Eukaryota; Viridiplantae; Streptophyta; Magnoliopsida; Fabales; Fabaceae. The record is from RNAcentral.
ACAACUCUUGAAAAACCGAGCAAGCAUAAAAAAAAAAUAUAUAUAAAAUAUAGAAAAGAGAAACAUCUGUUUUGUAAAUAUGAUGUGAAAGAAAAGAAAAAAUAGAGAAAAUGAAAAUGAAUGCUUGCUUGGAAGAAAAAUAGUGAAAAACAAAAAUUGAGUUGUGAAAUAAGAGUUGUGAAGGUUUCAAAUGAGAAACAAAUGGAACGAAGUUGAGAUGUGUGAAUAAUGUACAGUGAAUGUCUCUUUUGCAUCGGCAAUUUCGUUUUCAAUGGCCUUAGAAAUGACCCUUGUUUGUUAACCUAACCAAGCUUCAACCGAAAAGUCCUUAGUGAUCUUCGUGCUUCCACAUUACCAUUUAUAAUUGUUAGACAUUGUAUGAAUUGAAUUGAUUUCUUCAUUGUUUGUUGGAGAGUGAGAUUAUUCCCGCGGUUGCAAACGCGUAAUUUCUUCAAUCCUUAUUCGAAGAGGAGAGAUAGGGUGAUUCAUUCAAGAUAAUAUUGUUGUGGAUAGAUACAUAUUUCGCAUUGCUACUAAGUUUUAGUUCUUGUGUAUUAUUUUAUUCUAACCGUUGGAAAUUUGUAUCUGCUGAUUCGCUUGUGUUUGAGCCGUUUUAUCCGAUUUCGGAGAAACCUUUUUCUUAAUGCAAAUCCUCUUGUCCUUCAAGAGGCAUACUUUGCUUGAGGACAAGCAAGAAUCUAGUUGGGGAGAGUUGUUAGAUACCCAAAAGUGCUUAUUUGAGCUAUCAAAUAUGGGCAUCUUUCACUCCAUUUCCUUGCUAAAGUGUUCGAAACCACCUUUGUUUUAGAUGAAUUGCAAUACAAUGAUAAACGAUCUUGGUACCUUUGAUUUGUGUGUUAUUGUGCAUGAAUUAGGCAUGAAAUAAUAGAAAAUGAAGGCACAAGAAAGUUGGCAAAGGGACCAAAAAAAGGAUGCAUUCAUCAGCUUGCUCGCUAGGCGAGGGCUAUGGCGAAGAGCUCGCUAGGCGAGCACCCAGCGAACAGCUCCAGUAUUUUACAGUAGCAAACAUCAACAAACUCGCUAGGCGAGCAACCAACGAAGAUGGUGGCGAAUACGUCCAGACUUGGUCAAAAGCGCAGCCAGCACUCACUCGCUAGGCGAGCCAUUAGCGAGCUCCCAGCGAGCAAUUCCAGUAGCAAAACCUCCUAAGCUCGCUGGAGCGAAGGUUGAAGAGUGGGCUUCGCCUAGCGAAGGUUUUGUUCGCCUAGCGAACAUGCAAAUCUAGCAAAGGAUAUUUCUUUGGGCGCAGGUGCCUCAUUUUGGGGCUCGCUAGGCGAGCCAUUCUGCUCGCCUAGCGAGCAUGACAGCUCAGUAGCAGCACUAUAAGUAGCAGGGGCUACUUUUUGGAGCCAUAUCUAGGAUCCGAUCCUUUCCAGCAGGCUGUCUGCAACUACAACUGGGAUUGGAUGGCGGCAACUCAGCGCGCCAUGCUCGAUAUGCACGAUUCUAUGCAGCUGUUACAGUUGCAGAUGCGCGACCCCCCCGGUGAGCAUUCUAUGAUGACACGUGAGCCGUUUCUGCAGCACGCUAGCUGGCCUGUGGACAGGCCUGUGUUUGGAGAGGGGGCGGGUGCUGGUGCAGCUGGUGCUGGUGCUUCUUCUGGUGCUGCUGAAGAUGAUGAUGAUGAUGAUGCUACCGGUUCUGAAGCCGGUAGUGAUAAGGGUUAUGAGUCCUUGGAGGGCUAAGUUUAUUUUAUUUUUCAUAUUAUGUUUUAUUUCUAUUGUAUUUUCAGAUUUGUGUAUUUUGAUUUUGGUUAUGUACUUUUGGGGUGUCUUGUCCCCCAUGCACAAUUUUAAAUUUUGAAGUAAUGUUAUUAUCUAUGUUUUAAAUUUCUUUUGUUUUAAUAAAUUUUUGGUUGGUUGAGUGUCAAACCUUCUAGAUUGGUUGCUCCUCAAAGAAGUAUCCAAUGAAGGUGCAUCCGAGCUUGGAUGGCAAUGAUAAAAAUAUGGUUGAGUGUCAAACCUUCUAGAUUGGUUGCUCCUCAAAGAAGUAUCCAAUGAAGGUGCAUCCGAGCUUGGAUGGCAAUGAUAAAAAUAAACAAGUGAAUAAUGCUAAGGUACAUGGUUACCUCCGUCUAGAAUUUUAGAAUGCAUUAAGAACUUUACUCUUUUUUGUAAUUGAAUAUUGUCUUUUUGCAACAUAAUUGAAUGAAUAUUCACUUAGGGUGAGUAAGAAAUAAGUUGGGGAGAACGAAAAUGAGAAUCGGUAAGUGCCACAACUCUUGAAAAACCGAGCAAACAUAAAAAAAAUAAUAAUAUAUAAAAUAUAGAAAAGAGAAACAUCUGUUUUGUAAAUAUGAUGUGAAAGAAAAGAAAAAAUAGAGAAAAUGAAAAUGAAAAUGAAUGCUUGCUUUAAAGAAAAAUGGUGAAAAACAAAAAUUGAGUUGUGAAAUAAGAGUUGUGAAGGUUUCAAAUGAGAAACAAAUGGAAUGAAGUUGAG